Molecule: long non-coding RNA, 447 nt
Organism: Drosophila hydei
Lineage: Eukaryota; Metazoa; Arthropoda; Insecta; Diptera; Drosophilidae
Exons: 4
Source: RefSeq, a predicted model, not a curated record
UUUCAGGCCCGAAGCCACUACUUAAAGGCAGCUUUGCAAACAAACUCUUGACGCUGUCUGUAAAACGUUUAUGAAACACACACAAGAACUUUGCAUAUUCCAAGUAAGAAGUGUUGCCAGUAAAACGUUAACGAAAACUACGUCAAGUAGAAAUCUAUAAGAGUGACCGCAAAUUAAUUUCGUACAAUUGAAGCGAACUUCGACCACGCCCUGCCGUUCUGAGGAGUGGGCGCUAUCCUUGUCACGCUUGCGGUCAAAGGGGCCAGGACGAGACGGCCUCCGCUGCCAUCGCCUCGCCCGCCAACCACAAAACUCACUUUGAGCUGUGACACGACAAAAUGUCUCAAAACGAAAAGAGAAAGAAGUAGCAGAAUUGCAUAUACAACAACGAAAGAGGAAGACACAAGCGAUGAGAGCGAGAUAGCAGCAGUGAAUAAGGAAAUCGAC